UCCCUGGUAGCUAAGACAGUAAAGUGUCUGCCUACAAUGCAGGAGACCCAGGUUUGAUCCCUGGGAAGGGAA
Molecule: transfer RNA, 72 nt
Filed under: Ovis aries (sheep)
Lineage: Eukaryota; Metazoa; Chordata; Mammalia; Artiodactyla; Bovidae
Rfam family: tRNA
About the family: Transfer RNA (tRNA) molecules are approximately 80 nucleotides in length. Their secondary structure includes four short double-helical elements and three loops (D, anti-codon, and T loops).
Source: Rfam by way of RNAcentral